RNAcentral lists this long non-coding RNA (2199 nucleotides) under Canis lupus familiaris (dog). RNAcentral's name for it is "lncRNA (ENSCAFG00000054024.1, ENSCAFG00805029956.1)". Lineage: Eukaryota; Metazoa; Chordata; Mammalia; Carnivora; Canidae. The record is from RNAcentral.
GAUUGUGGUUUUAAAAGAUGAGUAAUUUAGCAACAUUGUUCUUUCAUAGUAAAAAACAAAAACAACCUCAGAGAAGUAGAAUAUUUCAUAUUGGUUUAGGCCAAGAAAGACUUUGAGAAUAAGAUGUGUAUAGGCUGAACAUAAAUAAGAGUGCUAUUACAGGCAGCACUUCUUUGAUGGCUACCUUUUGGGACCUGCCAUUAGAAAGAAGGGAAGAAUGGGUGGUUUUGCAGGGGUUGUUGUUAGGUGAAAAGAGCAGAGAGCAUUAAUUGUUGAGGACAGUGACUUUUCUUACAGCAUCUAGUCUCAUAUCCUACAUUAGCUCUUAUCUUGAGAGCUCUUUGUAUAUGAUUGUUCACUAGUGGCCUUCCAGCCAUGACAUUCUUACCAUUUUUUUUUCAUUCUUUUAUAAUAUUUACUUUUUUUUUUUUUUUCUUGUACAACUGGUGGGAAGAGGGUGGGAAACAAUUCCAGCAUCCCGAUAUAAUUGUCUUAUCAGCGCCACCGGUAUAAUGGUAUCAUGCAAGAUUCCCAGUAUAAUUGUCUUUUUGGUAUUCCUGUGUUUUAGAUAAUCAUCAGUAUAUUCCCUUCUUAAUUUCAUAAUCCUGUUUACUUUAGUAUUCUUCUUUUGUAGCAGCUUACUCCUUACUUACAUUGAAAUCGCUGAAUAACAUUCCAUGACAUGGAUAUUCAUGUUGUAAACGUGUCACUCUUCCAUGGUUAAACCUUUAAAAUUGCUUCUAAUUUUUAAUGUUCUAAAUAAGACUUUAAAAAUUUCCCAUGUUUUAUUAUUAUUUUAAAAAAGAUUUUAUGUAUUUAUUUACUUGAGAGAGAAAGCAAGAGAGGGUGCUUAUGAGGGAGGAGGAGGAGGGAGAGAAUCUCAAGCAGUUUCCAUGCAGAGUGCAAAGCCCAACCAGGGGCUUGAUCUUACCACUGAAAUCAUGACCUGAGCUGAAAUCAAGAGUUGGAUGUUUAACUGACUGAGCCACCCAGUCGCCCCUAACGUUUUCCACAUUUUAGAUCAUUCCCUUAAUGUUGUCAGAAUGUUACAGUAUUCUUAGAAGUCAGUAGAGUUCUGCUGGGUCUUUGGAGAGCUUUUUUUUUUUUGGAGAGCUUCAAAUGCAUAAGCUGCCCUGCAGGAAAUUCUCUACCAAAGAACUGUAGGCAUUUCUCAAAAGCUGUAGAGUAUUUGUAGCUCAUAUGCUGCAAAACAUUUAUAAAUUAAUUAAUUCAUGAAAUGAUUUUAAUUUGUCUCUUGAGGACUUUAUUUUUUUUUCAUUUUUUUCUGGUUUUAUAAACCCUGUCUUCUUUUCACUUGUAGUCCUUUUGAAUUUUUUAAAAAAUUUAUUUAUUCAUUAAAGACAGAGAGAGAGAAAGAGGCAGAGACACAGGCAGAGGGAGAAGCAGGCUCCCUGCAGGGAGCCCGACGUGGGACUCCAUCUCAGGACUCCAGGAUCACGCCCUGGGCCGAAGGCAGGCACUAAAUCACUGAGCCACCCAGGGAUCCCCCACUUGUAGUCCUUUUGGAUUCCUUAUUAGUUCUUUAAGAAUACCUUAAAAUUGUGUAGGACUUUCCCUUAUUUCCAAGAGGACCUUGUAAUUUAUUUUUUCAGUAGUUGCCUUAAUGUCUUCAAAAUGUGGUCCUUAAAUAUCUCUAGAUAAAUUACCUGGAUUAGAUUCAUCGGAAAGGCCAAUACUCACCACCCCCUCCACCCACAGUCCAAGAAUCUCUCUAAACCAUUGAUUGAUUGAUUGAUUGAAGAUUUUAUUGGUUUAUACGUGAGAGGCAGAGAGAGAGAGGCAGAGACACAGGCAGAGGGAGAAGCAGGCUCUAGGCAGGGAGCCCCGUGCGGGACUCGAUCCUGGCACUCCAGGAUCAUGACUUGAACCAAAGGCAGACGUUCAACUGCUGAGUCACCCAGGUGCCCUAAAACCAUAGAUUUUAGGUACUGACUUCUUACGAUUUGGCUGGAUGACUCUGACAUAAUAUUGUUUUCAAAAGUUGUAUAGAACUUGUCUUUCAGUUACUUUUCUGCACUACCACCCAGUCCCAGCCAGCCGUACAAUGAGUGAAGAUGGAAAAUUUCACCCGGGAAGGUCUCUAAAUGCAACCCUCUGUUUUUGUUUUUAUUCCCCAGUGCUUUAUUAUGAAUAAUUUUAAACAUGACCCAUAAACCUACCAUUGAAAUUAAACAAUUA